GACUCUCGGCAACGGAUAUCUUGGCUCACGCAUCGAUGAAGAACGUAGCAAAAUGCGAUACUUGGUGUGAAUUGCAGAAUCCCGUGAACCAUCGAGUUUUUGAACGCAAGUUGCGCCCGAAGCCUUUUGGUCAAGGGCACGUCUGCCUGGGUGUCACAU
This 159-nucleotide ribosomal RNA is filed under the name Sinosenecio homogyniphyllus. Its description in RNAcentral is "5.8S ribosomal RNA". It matches the Rfam family "5.8S ribosomal RNA". From Rfam's summary of the family: 5.8S ribosomal RNA (5.8S rRNA) is a component of the large subunit of the eukaryotic ribosome. It is transcribed by RNA polymerase I as part of the 45S precursor that also contains 18S and 28S rRNA. The record is from RNAcentral. Lineage: Eukaryota; Viridiplantae; Streptophyta; Magnoliopsida; Asterales; Asteraceae.